Zingiber officinale is the source of this 534-nucleotide long non-coding RNA. RefSeq lists it as uncharacterized. The transcript is spliced from 5 exons. The record is from RefSeq and is a predicted model, not a curated record. NCBI's taxonomy places the organism in Eukaryota, Viridiplantae, Streptophyta, Magnoliopsida, Zingiberales, Zingiberaceae.
AUUAACUCCUCACGCCUCUUUCUUCCCCCAUUGCUUUCCUCUCUCCCUCGUUCCCCCUUCCAACCAGCGAUUUCCAGGAGGAUUUCGGCCACAUCUCCGACGACGGUGUGAUCUCCGGCGGUGGAAGCUUUCUAAUUGGUGGAAUACCUUCCUGUUGUCUUUCCAGAUGAGAGCAAACAACAAAACAUAGUAAAAUUUUCAGAUAGGGUCUCAAUUUACCGUGAACUCAAUGUAGUUGAAGACAACCGUAUUUGUUCACCUCUUUUCGGAUUGGUGAGGCGAAAUAUAUGUCAGAGAAAAAAGAAAAGAAGAUUUGAGGGGGAAGAAAGCUUUUGUGGCAUAAGAAGAUGACUUGAUGUAUCUUAGUUUGUUUAACUUCUUGGAUUGAUGGACUUGUUUAACUUUUGGAGUGUUGAACUUGUAUAAUAUUUUCGAGUAGCUUGAAGAAGACAGAUCUUGUAUAACUUGUUGAGACCUUUAUAUUUGUUGAAUUAUGAGUUGAGUUCAAUUAUUAAUAGAUGUAUGUGAAAUUAA